RNAcentral lists this ribosomal RNA (522 nucleotides) under uncultured bacterium. RNAcentral describes it as "bacterial SSU rRNA". It matches the Rfam family "Bacterial small subunit ribosomal RNA", at positions 988 to 1509 of the family's 1533-position model. The record is from RNAcentral.
CCAGAGAACUUUCCAGAGAUGGAUUGGUGCCUUCGGGAACUCUGAGACAGGUGCUGCAUGGCUGUCGUCAGCUCGUGUUCGUGAAAUGUUGGGUUAAGUCCCGCAACGAGCGCAACCCUUAUCCUUUGUUGCCAGCGGUUAGGCCGGGAACUCAAAGGAGACUGCCAGUGAUAAACUGGAGGAAGGUGGGGAUGACGUCAAGUCAUCAUGGCCCUUACGAGUAGGGCUACACACGUGCUACAAUGGCGCAUACAAAGAGAAGCGACCUCGCGAGAGCAAGCGGACCUCAUAAAGUGCGUCGUAGUCCGGAUUGGAGUCUGCAACUCGACUCCAUGAAGUCGGAAUCGCUAGUAAUCGUGGAUCAGAAUGCCACGGUGAAUACGUUCCCGGGCCUUGUACACACCGCCCGUCACACCAUGGGAGUGGGUUGCAAAAGAAGUAGGUAGCUUAACCUUCGGGAGGGCGCUUACCACUUUGUGAUUCAUGACUGGGGUGAAGUCGUAACAAGGUAAGCGUAGUGCU